Molecule: ribosomal RNA, 301 nt
Filed under: uncultured bacterium
Lineage: Bacteria
Description: partial 16S ribosomal RNA
Rfam family: Bacterial small subunit ribosomal RNA
Source: RNAcentral
CAGCAGCCGCGGUAAUACAGAGGGUGCAAGCGUUAAUCGGAAUUACUGGGCGUAAAGCGCGCGUAGGUGGUUUGUUAAGUUGGAUGUGAAAUCCCCGGGCUCAACCUGGGAACUGCAUCCAAAACUGGCAAGCUAGAGUAUGGUAGAGGGUGGUGGAAUUUCCUGUGUAGCGGUGAAAUGCGUAGAUAUAGGAAGGAACACCAGUGGCGAAGGCGACCACCUGGACUGAUAAUGACACUGAGGUGCGAAAGCGUGGGGAGCAAACAGGAUUAGAUACCCCAGUAGUCCCUGUCUCUUAUAC